CUCACUUUUUGAAGUGUUUACAAUAUAAGCACAUCCUGGACUUGACUAAAAAUAGCUGGCACAAGCCCUUGUUGAAAUAGAAGUACCCAUGGGGUUAACACUUGCUGUUUGGACUGAGUGCCUGUUAUGUGAGGGACUUUUGGUUGACCCCAGUAGGCUCUAUGCCCAAUGCAGGGAUUUCAAGAGGCCAAGCAGCUGUUGAAACUACUUAAUGCUUUCACAGGGUUAGACAAAGAUAGAUCAGCUUGAAACUUGAAAAAUUAUGGUAUCCUACCUCUGUAUGUAAUUUGAAGCAAGAAAAAUUCUAAGCCAUAACAUUUUUUUUUUUUUUUCUGUUUUGGUGACCUUACUUGGUGGUAGCAAAGCAAGCAAGCAUGCACACACAUUCGCACAGAAGUUGG
Molecule: long non-coding RNA, 401 nt
Filed under: Bos taurus (domestic cattle)
Lineage: Eukaryota; Metazoa; Chordata; Mammalia; Artiodactyla; Bovidae
Description: long non-coding RNA NONBTAT006754
Source: RNAcentral